CCCUUAGAUGUCCUGGGCUGCACGCGCGCUACACUGAUGUGUCCAGUAAGCACCUAACCUCUUCCGAAAGGAACGGGUAACCUUUGCAAAGCACAUCGUGAUGGGGAUAGAUUAUUGCAAUUAUUAGUCUUGAACGAGGAAUUCCUAGUAAUCACAAGUCAUCAGCUUGUGUUGAUUACGUCCCUGCCCUUUGUACACACCGCCCGUCGCUCCUACCGAUUGAAUGUUCCGGUGAGCUCUUCGGACUGCGCGGUCUGCAGUUUCUGCGUUCCGUGCGGAAAGUUGCGCAAACCUUAACAUUUAGAGGAAGGAGAAGUCGUAACA
Molecule: ribosomal RNA, 324 nt
Filed under: uncultured eukaryote
Lineage: Eukaryota
Description: partial 18S ribosomal RNA
Rfam family: Eukaryotic small subunit ribosomal RNA
Source: RNAcentral